RNAcentral lists this ribosomal RNA (386 nucleotides) under uncultured prokaryote. RNAcentral describes it as "bacterial SSU rRNA". It matches the Rfam family "Archaeal small subunit ribosomal RNA", at positions 339 to 725 of the family's 1478-position model. The record is from RNAcentral.
GCGCGAAAACUUUACAAUGCUGGCAACAGCGAUAAGGGAACCUCGAGUGCCAGGUUACAAAUCUGGCUGUCGAGAUGCCUAAAAAGCAUUUCAUAGCAAGGGCCGGGCAAGACCGGUGCCAGCCGCCGCGGUAACACCGGCGGCUCGAGUGGUCACCGUGAUUAUUGGGUCUAAAGGGUCUGUAGCCGGCCGGAUAAGUCUCUUGAGAAAUCUGGCAGCUUAACUGUCAGGCUUUCAGGAGAUACUGUCUGGCUCGAGGCCGGGAGAGGUGAGAGGUACUUCAGGGGUAGGGGUGAAAUCUUGUAAUCCUUGAAGGACCACCAGUGGCGAAGGCGUCUCACCAGAACGGACCUGACGGCAAGGGACGAAAGCUAGGGGCACGAACC